This 436-nucleotide ribosomal RNA is filed under the name uncultured bacterium. RNAcentral's name for it is "partial 16S ribosomal RNA". It matches the Rfam family "Bacterial small subunit ribosomal RNA", at positions 29 to 507 of the family's 1533-position model. The record is from RNAcentral.
AGCGAACGCUGGCGGCAGGCUUAACACAUGCAAGUCGAGCGGGCAUCCUUGUGGUGUCCGCGGCAGACGGGUGAGUAACGCGUGGGAACGUGCCCUUCGGUUCGGAAUAACUCAGGGAAACUUGAGCUAAUACCGGAUACGCCCUUUUGGGGAAAGGUUUACUGCCGAAGGAUCGGCCCGCGUCUGAUUAGCUAGUUGGUGAGGUUAUGGCUCACCAAGGCGACGAUCAGUAGCUGGUCUGAGAGGAUGAUCAGCCACACUGGGACUGAGACACGGCCCAGACUCCUACGGGAGGCAGCAGUGGGGAAUAUUGGACAAUGCGGGCAACCCUGAUCCAGCCAUGCCGCGUGAGUGAUGACGGCCUUAGGGUUGUAAAGCUCUUUUCUCCGGGACGAUAAUGACGGUACCGGAGGAAUAAGCCCCGGCUAACUUCGUG